RNAcentral lists this ribosomal RNA (484 nucleotides) under uncultured bacterium. RNAcentral describes it as "partial 16S ribosomal RNA". It matches the Rfam family "Bacterial small subunit ribosomal RNA", at positions 28 to 507 of the family's 1533-position model. The record is from RNAcentral.
AUUGAACGCUGGCGGCAUGCUUUACACAUGCAAGUCGAACGGCAGCGCGGGCUUCGGCCUGGCGGCGCGUGGCGAACGGGUGAGUAAUGCAUCGGAACGUGCCCAGUAGUGGGGGAUAGCCCGGCGAAAGCCGGAUUAAUACCGCAUACGACCUGAGGGUGAAAGCGGGGGACCGAAAGGCCUCGCGCUAUUGGAGCGGCGGAUGUCGGAUUAGCUAGUUGGUGGGGUAAAGGCUUACCAAGGCGACGAUCCGUAGCUGGUCUGAGAGGGCGACCAGCCACACUGGGACUGAGACACGGCCCAGACUCCUACGGGAGGCAGCAGUGGGGAAUUUUGGACAAUGGGGGCAACCCUGAGCCAGCCAUGCCGCGUGCGGGAAGAAGGCCUUCGGGUUGUAAACCGCUUUUGUUCGGGAAGAAAUCCUCUGGGCUAAUACCCCGGGGGGAUGACGGUACCGGAAGAAUAAGCACCGGCUAACUACGUG